This 1408-nucleotide long non-coding RNA is filed under the name Monodelphis domestica (gray short-tailed opossum). RNAcentral's name for it is "lncRNA (ENSMODG00000043682.1)". The record is from RNAcentral. Lineage: Eukaryota; Metazoa; Chordata; Mammalia; Didelphimorphia; Didelphidae.
GGUUAGCUGGGCUAAAGAAGGUUCCUCUCCCCAGCCCCUCGGCAGUUUAGAAACCCAGGUCUUCGGAGGGGUUCAAGCCCCACCGGCUAGAGGGUUGCCAGCUUCAAGUCUGAGGACAAGUAAAUGACCAUCAGCUUGGGCUAGAGCUUACUGCAGUGGAUCACUUCACUGAAAGGGAUUGUUUCCAGAAGGCCAGAACUUGGCCUGGCGUGGAAGCAAAUGAUCUCAACGGAACUUCUGGUUAAUGCACCGGUACUUCCUGAGUCAUUUCUGGUCUUCCUCACUUGGAUCCUCCAACUGCCUCCUCAAAACUCCAUAUCUGCAGGGAAAUCAUUCUUUUCGCUCCUUGGCAUUUACAAUUUCCAGGUAAUUGCAAUCUUCUCAUACCCUCCCUAUGAAUUCCCCUAGCAGGUGCUUACACCAGUUCUCGAUAUUUAUCCAUUUCAGUGUUUCUGUGUACAUCAUAUGGACCCUACCGCUUACUGAUCCCAUCACUGCUCUUUUCAGAAUUCCUCCUAUUUUUUGGUUAUCUUCCUGGUACGGAAGAGGCUGGACGAAGCUAAUUUAGUAUUCCAGCAGUGAUUUCCUUAGCAUUCUUGAAAAAUGAUUUGUUCAGUAAUAUGAUGUCUUUUUGCUUAAGACCUAAAGAGAGCACCAGAUGGGAUUAGCCUAGCCGGUAGGUCAAACUUUACUUCAAUAACUGAUGGAGAAUCUAGCAGUGUCCCCUGUUGUAUUAGGAUGAAAUAUCCUAGGAAUAUAUGUUAAGGCCAACCCUUGGCUUCCCAAAAUGAAUGACUUCUACAACAGCAGGCUAGGGAAGGACCCAGCUGGGCAAUGACUUGUGUGAAAAUGAUCUGAGGGGCUUGGUGGACCACAAAUAUAACUUGAGGCAGUGGUACGACGGGUCAGACACAGACACUAACUACCUUUAGGUUGCAUAAAGAGAGAGGCACUGUGUCCAGAACAAGUAGGGAUAUAGCCCCAUUACACUCUGGCAUGGACUCUGUAAUUUCAGAGUGGGAAGGUCAUGUUUGGCUUUGGGUGCAAUAUUUUUGGCAGGCCAUUGAUAAAACUGGAGAGAAUCCAGAAGAGGGCAAUAAGAUUGAUCUGGGACUGUAAGUCAUGCCAUUUGAGUUUCAGUUAAAGAAACUGAGAACAACAUUUAGCCCAGAGAAGUAAAGACUUGGGGAAUGUGUGUCUGGUGGGGAGGCAGGAAGGACUGUCACACCAAAGAAGUAUCAGAUUUGUUCUGCCCCAGUGGGGGCAAGGGAGAAAAGGAGGGCAGAAAGACACGGUUCAGUUUGACGUAAAAGAAAACCUCCAGCCACAAGUGGAACAGGCUGCUUUGGGAACUAGUAGACUCCCUUUCACUGAAAAUGUUCAAGUGGAGGCUGAAAGACCACUUGUU